GCCAGGCGUGGUGGUGCACGCCUGUAGUCCCAGCUACUGGGCAGGCUGAGGCAGAAGGAUUGCUUAAGUCCAGGAGGUCAAGGGUGCAGUGAGCUGUGAUCGUGCCACUGCACUCCAGCCUGGGCAAGAGAGUGAGACUCUGUCUCAA
Non-coding RNA from Homo sapiens (human), 148 nucleotides. It matches the Rfam family "Metazoan signal recognition particle RNA". From Rfam's summary of the family: The signal recognition particle (SRP) is a universally conserved ribonucleoprotein. It is involved in the co-translational targeting of proteins to membranes. NCBI's taxonomy places the organism in Eukaryota, Metazoa, Chordata, Mammalia, Primates, Hominidae. The record is from Rfam.